GCGGGUGUGGCGGAACGGUAGACGCCGGGGACUUAAAAUCCCCUGUCCCCUGGACGUGUGGGUUCGAUUCCCACCACCCGCA
RNAcentral lists this transfer RNA (82 nucleotides) under Tsuneonella dongtanensis. RNAcentral's name for it is "Altererythrobacter sp. JM27 tRNA". It matches the Rfam family "tRNA". Rfam says of the family: Transfer RNA (tRNA) molecules are approximately 80 nucleotides in length. The record is from Rfam by way of RNAcentral. Lineage: Bacteria; Pseudomonadati; Pseudomonadota; Alphaproteobacteria; Sphingomonadales; Erythrobacteraceae.